This 505-nucleotide ribosomal RNA is filed under the name uncultured bacterium. Its description in RNAcentral is "partial 16S ribosomal RNA". It matches the Rfam family "Bacterial small subunit ribosomal RNA", at positions 28 to 507 of the family's 1533-position model. The record is from RNAcentral.
GACGAACGCUGGCGGCGUGCCUAAUACAUGCAAGUGGGACGCAAGGAAACACACUGUGCUUGCACACCGUGUUUUCUUGAGUCGCGAACGGGUGAGUAACGCGUAGGUAACCUGCCUAUUAGCGGGGGAUAACUAUUGGAAACGAUAGCUAAUACCGCAUAAUAUUAAUUAUUGCAUGAUAAUUGAUUGAAAGAUGCAAGCGCAUCACUAGUAGAUGGACCUGCGUUGUAUUAGCUAGUUGGUAAGGUAAGAGCUUACCAAGGCGACGAUACAUAGCCGACCUGAGAGGGUGAUCGGCCACACUGGGACUGAGACACGGCCCAGACUCCUACGGGAGGCAGCAGUAGGGAAUCUUCGGCAAUGGACGAAAGUCUGACCGAGCAACGCCGCGUGAGUGAAGAAGGUUUUCGGAUCGUAAAGCUCUGUUGUAAGUCAAGAACGUGUGUGAGAGUGGAAAGUUCACACAGUGACGGUAGCUUACCAGAAAGAGACGGCUAACUACGUG